This 253-nucleotide ribosomal RNA is filed under the name uncultured bacterium. RNAcentral describes it as "partial 16S ribosomal RNA". It matches the Rfam family "Bacterial small subunit ribosomal RNA", at positions 524 to 776 of the family's 1533-position model. The record is from RNAcentral.
UACAGAGGGUGCAAGCGUUAAUCGGAGUUACUGGGCGUAAAGGGCGCGUAGGCGGUUAUUUAAGUUUGAUGUGAAAUCCCUGGGCUUAACCUAGGAAUGGCAUUGAAUACUGAGUAGCUAGAGUACUGUAGAGGGUAGUGGAAUUUCCGGUGUAGCGGUGAAAUGCGUAGAGAUCGGAAGGAACACCAGUGGCGAAGGCGGCUACCUGGACAGAUACUGACGCUGAGGCGCGAGAGCGUGGGGAGCAAACAGG